ACUGUUCCCUGGGAUUGGCUUUAAGCUUUUCAUGCGUAGCUUAGGUGGAGGGCGAAGAAGGCCUCCUUUCGGGGGGAUCGAUCCAUCAGUGAGAUACCACUCUGAAGAGCUAGAAUUCUAACCUUUUUCUAGGACCUACGGGCCAAGGGACAAUAUUAGGUAGACAGUUUCUAUGGGGUGUAGGCCUCCCAAAAGAUAACGGAGGCGUGCAAAGGUUUCCUCAGGCCAACUGGAGAUUGGCCCUCAAGUGCAAGGGAGGAAGGGAGCUUGACUUCAAGGCACACCAGUCGUGCAGGGACGAAAGUCGGCCUUAGUGAUCUGACGAUGCCGAGUGGAAGGGUGGUCGAAUAUAUA
This is a non-coding RNA of Lupinus angustifolius (narrow-leaved blue lupine), 354 nucleotides long. Lineage: Eukaryota; Viridiplantae; Streptophyta; Magnoliopsida; Fabales; Fabaceae. The record is from Rfam.